GAUCGCAGUGAUGACUCAAUCAAAUUCAAACUCAACAGACCAGAAUGCAGGGUUAUAGUCUUGUCUUGGGAGAUAGCUCUGUCUGUCAAUCAAAACGCUAUCUUGAGUGAUU
Molecule: small nucleolar RNA, 112 nt
Organism: Ziziphus jujuba (common jujube)
Lineage: Eukaryota; Viridiplantae; Streptophyta; Magnoliopsida; Rosales; Rhamnaceae
Product: small nucleolar RNA Z107/R87
Exons: 1
Source: RefSeq, a predicted model, not a curated record